Molecule: ribosomal RNA, 497 nt
Filed under: uncultured bacterium
Lineage: Bacteria
Description: partial 16S ribosomal RNA
Rfam family: Bacterial small subunit ribosomal RNA
Source: RNAcentral
GAUGAACGCUGGCGGCGUGCCUAAUACAUACAAGUCGAGCGAACAGACGAGGAGCUUGCUCCUCUGACGUUAGCGGUGGACGGGUGAGUAACACGUGGAUAACCUACCUAUAAGACUGGGAUAACUUCGGGAAACCGGAGCUAAUACCGGAUAACAUGUUGAACCGCAUGGUUCAACAGUGAAAGACGGUCUUGCUGUCACUUAUAGAUGGAUCCGCGCCGCAUUAGCUAGUUGGUAAGGUAACGGCUUACCAAGGCAACGAUGCGUAGCCGACCUGAGAGGGUGAUCGGCCACACUGGAACUGAGACACGGUCCAGACUCCUACGGGAGGCAGCAGUAGGGAAUCUUCCGCAAUGGGCGAAAGCCUGACGGAGCAACGCCGCGUGAGUGAAGAAGGUCUUCGGAUCGUAAAACUCUGUUAUUAGGGAAGAACAAAUGUGUAAGUAACUAUGCACGUCUUGACGGUACCUAAUCAGAAAGCCACGGCUAACUACGUG